RNAcentral lists this small RNA (80 nucleotides) under Xyrichtys novacula (pearly razorfish). Lineage: Eukaryota; Metazoa; Chordata; Actinopteri; Labriformes; Labridae. The record is from RNAcentral.
UAAACAAUGCAGCCUCAAUGAGACACAAGCCAGUGUCCUACUUGUGCCGGUCCCAAGCCCGGGGAAAUGCAGAGGGUAAC